CCCGAUAACAAUAGUUCACUGGAACCACCUAAUCCAUCUCGAACUUAGAAGUGAAACGGUGUAGCGCCAAUGGUAGUGCGUAAGUGCGAGAGUAGGUAUUAUCGGGC
RNAcentral lists this ribosomal RNA (107 nucleotides) under SAR86 cluster bacterium. The record is from RNAcentral. Lineage: Bacteria; Pseudomonadati; Pseudomonadota; Gammaproteobacteria.